RNAcentral lists this ribosomal RNA (253 nucleotides) under uncultured prokaryote. RNAcentral describes it as "partial 16S ribosomal RNA". It matches the Rfam family "Bacterial small subunit ribosomal RNA", at positions 524 to 776 of the family's 1533-position model. The record is from RNAcentral.
UACGUGAGGGGCGAACGUUGUUCGGUGUCACUGGGCUUAAAGGGCGCGUAGGUGGUUGCGUAAGUAACGUGUGAAAUCCCUCGGCUUACCCGGGGAAUUGCAUGUUAUACUGCGUGGCUUGAGGAUCUCAGGGGAAAGGGGAACUCCAGGUGUAGCGGUGAAAUGCGCAGAUAUCAGGAGGAACACCGGUGGCGAAGGCGCUCAUCUGGCCCAAUACUGACGCUGAGGCGCGAAAGCUAGGGGAGCAAACGGG